CUCCUACGGGAGGCAGCAGUGGGGAAUAUUGCACAAUGGGCGAAAGCCUGAUGCAGCAACGCCGCGUGAGCGAAGAAGGCCUUUGGGUCGUAAAGCUCUGUCCCUCAGGAAGAAACAAAUGACGGUACUGAGGGAGGAAGCCCCGGCUAACUACGUGCCAGCAGCCGCGGUAAUACGUAGGGGGCAAGCGUUAUCCGGAAUUAUUGGGCGUAAAGAGUAUGUAGGUGGUUUUCUAAGCGCAGGGUUUAAGGCAAUGGCUUAACCAUUGUUCGCCUUGUGAACUGGAAGACUUGAGUGCAGGAGAGGAAAGUGGAAUUCCUAGUGUAGCGGUGAAAUGCGUAGAUAUUAGGAGGAACACCAGUGGCGAAGGCGGCUUUCUGGACUGUAACUGACACUGAGAUACGAAAGCGUGGGGAGCAAACAGGAUUAGAUACCCUGGUAGUCCACGCCGUAAACGAUGAGCACUAGGUGUCGGGGUCGCAAGGCUUCGGUGCCGCAGUUAACGCAUUAAGUGCUCCGCCUGGGGAGUACGUUCGCAAGAAUAAAACUCAAAGGAAUUGACGGGGACCCGCACAAGCAGCGGAGCAUGUGGUUUAAUUCGAAGCAACGCGAAGAACCUUACCAGAGCUUGACAUCCUUCUGACCGGUCCUUAAUCGGGCCUUUCUUCGGACAGAAGAGACAGGUGGUGCAUGGUUGUCGUCAGCUCGUGUCGUGAGAUGUUGGGUUAAGUCCCGCAACGAGCGCAACCCUUGUCAUUAGUUGCCAUCAUUCAGUUGGGCACUCUAGUGAGACUGCCGGGGAUAACUCGGAGGAAGGUGGGGAUGACGUCAAAUCAUCAUGCCCCUUAUGUUCUGGGCUACACACGUGCUACAAUGGUCGGUACAACGAGAAGCAAGACCGUGAGGUGGAGCAAAUCUUAAAAACCGAUCCCAGUUCGGAUUGCAGGCUGCAACUCGCCUGCAUGAAGUCGGAGUUGCUAGUAAUCGCAGAUCAGAAUGCUGCGGUGAAUGCGUUCCCGGGUCUUGUACACACCGCCCGU
Molecule: ribosomal RNA, 1040 nt
Filed under: uncultured Eubacteriales bacterium
Lineage: Bacteria; Bacillati; Bacillota; Clostridia; Eubacteriales
Description: bacterial SSU rRNA
Rfam family: Bacterial small subunit ribosomal RNA
Source: RNAcentral